AACGCACAUUGCGCCCUCUGGUAUUCCGGGGGGCAUGCCUGUUCGAGCGUCAUUUCAAACCCUCAAGCUCCGGCUUGGUGUUGGGCGCCGUCCGCCUGAGGACGCGCCUGAAACUCGUAGGCGGUCGCGCGCGGCUCCUCAGCGUAGUCAAGUUCUCGCUCUGGACGCCCGCGUGCGGCCCCGCCUGGGAAACCACUCAUCUCAAAGGUUUGACCUCGGAUCAGGUAGGGAUACCCGCUGAACUUAA
Molecule: unclassified non-coding RNA, 247 nt
Filed under: uncultured Tubeufiales
Lineage: Eukaryota; Fungi; Ascomycota; Dothideomycetes
Description: sequence contains 5.8S rRNA gene, ITS2, 28S rRNA gene
Rfam family: 5.8S ribosomal RNA (bases 1-52)
Source: RNAcentral